UACCAGUAUGUAAGCAAUAAUGUACGUGCAAAUUCGAUCAGGUCCGAAAGGAAGCAAUCGUAGCUCGAAUCAAUAUGUGCUAUGCAUACUGGUGUAU
Molecule: signal recognition particle RNA, 97 nt
Filed under: Wigglesworthia glossinidia endosymbiont of Glossina morsitans morsitans (Yale colony)
Lineage: Bacteria; Pseudomonadati; Pseudomonadota; Gammaproteobacteria; Enterobacterales; Erwiniaceae
Description: 4.5S RNA
Rfam family: Bacterial small signal recognition particle RNA
About the family: The signal recognition particle (SRP) is a universally conserved ribonucleoprotein involved in the co-translational targeting of proteins to membranes. Archaeal SRP consists of a 7S RNA and homologues of the eukaryotic SRP19 and SRP54 proteins.
Source: RNAcentral